Molecule: unclassified non-coding RNA, 378 nt
Filed under: plant metagenome
Description: partial contains 5.8S ribosomal RNA, internal transcribed spacer 2, and large subunit ribosomal RNA
Rfam family: 5.8S ribosomal RNA (bases 1-105)
Source: RNAcentral
GAAAUGCGAUAAGUAAUGUGAAUUGCAGAAUUCAGUGAAUCAUCGAAUCUUUGAACGCACCUUGUGCUCCUUGGUAUUCCUUGGAGCAUGCCUGUUUGAGUAUCAUGAAAUCUUCAAAGUAAAUCUUUUGUUAACUCAAUUGGUUUCUACUUUGGUAUUGGAGGUCUUUGCAGCUUCACACCUGCUCCUCUUUGUUCAUUAGCUGGAUCUCAGUGUUAUGCUUGGUUCCACUCGGCGUGAUAAGUUAUCUAUCGCUGAGGACACUGUAAAAGGUGGCCAAGGUAAAUGCAGAUGAACUGCUUCUAAUAGUCCAUUGACUUGGACAAUACUUUUAUGAUCUGAUCUCAAAUCAGGUAGGACUACCCGCUGAACUUAAGC